RNAcentral lists this ribosomal RNA (211 nucleotides) under uncultured Bacillota bacterium. RNAcentral's name for it is "uncultured Firmicutes bacterium partial 16S ribosomal RNA". It matches the Rfam family "Bacterial small subunit ribosomal RNA", at positions 449 to 655 of the family's 1533-position model. Lineage: Bacteria; Bacillati; Bacillota. The record is from RNAcentral.
GUGCACAUUAGGAAAUGAGUGUGUAUUGACGGUACCCAAUUAGAAAGCCCCGGCUAACUACGUGCCAGCAGCCGCGGUAAUACGUAGGGGGCAAGCGUUAUCCGGAAUUAUUGGGCGUAAAGAGUGCGUAGGCGGAAUGUUAAGUCAUUUGUAAAAGAUCUCAGCCUAACUGAGUAAGGCGAAUGAAACUGGCAAUCUUGAAUACAGUAGA